GGACGAACGCUGGCGGCGUGCUUAACACAUGCAAGUCGAACGGUAACAGGAAGGGCUUCGGCCUUUUGUGCUCGAGUGGCGAACGGGUGAGUAACACGUGGGUGAUCUGCCCUGCACUUUGGGAUAAGCCUGGGAAACUGGGUCUAAUACCGGAUACGCAUUCAUGUGGAAAGCGGGGGAUCUUUUGACCUCGCGGUGUGGGAUGGGCCCGCGGCCUAUCAGCUUGUUGGUGGGGUAAUGGCCUACCAAGGCGUCGACGGGUAGCCGGCCUGAGAGGGUGUCCGGCCACACUGGGACUGAGAUACGGCCCAGACUCCUACGGGAGGCAGCAGUGGGGAAUAUUGCACAAUGGGCGCAAGCCUGAUGCAGCGACGCCGCGUGGGGGAUGACGGCCUUCGGGUUGUAAACCUCUUUCAGCACAGACGAAGGCAGUAAAGUUCAUACCUUUGCUCAUUGACGGUAUGUGCAGAAGAAGCACCGGCCAACUACGUGCCAGCAGCCGCGGUAAUACGUAGGGUGCGAGCGUUGUCCGGAAUUACUGGGCGUAAAGAGCUUGUAGGUGGUUUGUCGCGUUGUUCGUGAAAUCUCACGGCUUAACUGUGAGCGUGCGGGCGAUACGGGCAGACUAGAGUACUGCAGGGGAGACUGGAAUUCCUGGUGUAGCGGUGGAAUGCGCAGAUAUCAGGAGGAACACCGGUGGCGAAGGCGGGUCUCUGGGCAGUAACUGACGCUGAGGAGCGAAAGCGUGGGGAGCGAACAGGAUUAGAUACCCUGGUAGUCCACGCCGUAAACGGUGGGUACUAGGUGUGGGUUUCUCCUGGGAUCCGUGCCGUAGCUAACGCAUUAAGUACCCCGCCUGGGGAGUACGGCCGCAAGGCUAAAACUCAAAGGAAUUGCGGGGGCCCGCACAAGCGGCGGAGCAUGUGGAUUAAUUCGAUGCAACGCGAAGAACCUUACCUGGGUUUGACAUGACAGGACGUCGGUAGAGAUGUCGGUUUGCCCUUGGGAAUCUGUGUGCAGGUGGUGCAUGGCUGUCGUCAGCUCGUGUCGUGAGAUGUUGGGUUAAGUCCCGCAACGAGCGCAACCCUUGUCCUAUGUUGCCAGCGGUUUAUCCGGGGACUCGUAGGAGACUGCCGGGGUCAACUCGGAGGAAGGUGGGGAUGACGUCAAGUCAUCAUGCCCCUUAUGUCCAGGGCUUCACACAUGCUACAAUGGCCGGUACAAAGGGCUGCGAUACCGUGAGGUGGAGCGAAUCCUUCAAAGCCGGUCUCAGUUCGGAUCGGGGUCUGCAACUGACCCCGUGAAGUCGGAGUCGCUAGUAAUCGCAGAUCAGCAACGCUGCGGUGAAUACGUUCCCGGGCCUUGUACA
Molecule: ribosomal RNA, 1369 nt
Filed under: Mycobacterium sp. IMCC13008
Lineage: Bacteria; Bacillati; Actinomycetota; Actinomycetes; Mycobacteriales; Mycobacteriaceae
Description: bacterial SSU rRNA
Rfam family: Bacterial small subunit ribosomal RNA
Source: RNAcentral